Molecule: ribosomal RNA, 460 nt
Filed under: uncultured bacterium
Lineage: Bacteria
Description: partial 16S ribosomal RNA
Rfam family: Bacterial small subunit ribosomal RNA
Source: RNAcentral
CCUACGGGCGGCAGCAGUGAGGAAUAUUGGUCAAUGGACGAGAGUCUGAACCAGCCAAGUAGCGUGAAGGAUGACUGCCCUAUGGGUUGUAAACUUCUUUUAUAUGGGAAUAAAAUGUUCCACGUGUGGGAUUUUGUAUGUACCAUAUGAAUAAGGAUCGGCUAACUCCGUGCCAGCAGCCGCGGUAAUAAGGAGGAUCCGAGCGUUAUCCGGAUUUAUUGGGUUUAAAGGGAGCGUAGGUGGAUUGGUAAGUUAGUUGUGAAAGUUUGCGGCGCAACCGUAAAAUUGCAGUUGAAACUGGCAGUCUUGAGUACAGUAGAGGUGGGCGGAAUUCGUGGUGUAGCGGUGAAAUGCUUAGAUAUCACGAAGAACUCCGAUGGCGAAGGCAGCUCACUGGACUGCAACUGACACUGAGGCUCGAAAGUGUGGGUAGCAAACAGGAUUAGAUACCCCAGUAGUC